This 373-nucleotide microRNA precursor is filed under the name Gossypium raimondii (Peruvian cotton). RNAcentral describes it as "miR8707 stem-loop (gra-MIR8707)". Lineage: Eukaryota; Viridiplantae; Streptophyta; Magnoliopsida; Malvales; Malvaceae. The record is from miRBase by way of RNAcentral.
UAAAAUGGCUAUUGAAUUUUUCAAAAUUUUUUACUUAAACCAACGCUUAUUGUAUGGCUUUCAUUGUGUACAAUGCUUGUGCCAAUUGAAAGCUUUCAUUUUCAUUUUCUUUUAUAGUUUAAUAUUUUUUUUCUUGAAAUAGCUUUAAACAUCACGAAUAUACGGAUUAAAAUAUAAAUAAAUUUUUUCUCUAAUCUUCAACAUUGAUCAUCAAAUCAAUUAAGAUCUAAGGAAUGUUUUACUCAUCAAUAGGUAUUGAUUUAUCACAUCGAUCGUCGAAUCGUCGUUUGGAGUUCAAUAGCUGAAUUUAAAAAAAAAAUUAAUAACUCAAUAACUUAAAUAAAAACUUUUGAAUAAUUCAGUGAUUUCAAUG